UACAGAGGGUGCGAGCGUUAAUCGGAGUAACUGGGCGUAAAGGGCACGUAGGCGGUUAUAUUACUCUGAAGUGAAAGACCUGGGAUUAACCUGGGAUGUGCAUUGGAAACGGUAUGGCUAGAGUAUGGGAGAGGGAAGUGGAAUUUCCCGUGUAGCGGUGAAAUGCGUAUAGACCGGAAAGAAGACUCGUGGCGAAGGCGGCUUUCUGGCCUAAAACUGACGCUUAGGUGCGAAAGCGUGGGGAGCAAACAUG
Molecule: ribosomal RNA, 253 nt
Filed under: uncultured bacterium
Lineage: Bacteria
Description: partial 16S ribosomal RNA
Rfam family: Bacterial small subunit ribosomal RNA
Source: RNAcentral